RNAcentral lists this ribosomal RNA (633 nucleotides) under Triticum aestivum (bread wheat). RNAcentral describes it as "partial small subunit ribosomal RNA". Lineage: Eukaryota; Viridiplantae; Streptophyta; Magnoliopsida; Poales; Poaceae. The record is from RNAcentral.
AUGAGGCCACCGGACAUGUAUGACCAUGGCGGCAGCUCCUCAUCCGGGCCGCGCGCCAAGGAGGAGAUGCAGCCAGAGGUGGUUCUCUACACGGCGUCGGCGUCGCGCCGCAGGGGUCGCACCUCCACCAACCUCUACGCCCUGCGCGCCCUGCUGCGGGGCUACGGCCUGACCAUGUACGAGCGCGACGUGUCCAGGAGCAAAGCGCAUCGCUGCGAGCUCAAGUCGUUGCUUGCGGCUCGGGGCUGCGCCUUCUCCCUCCCGCAGCUCCUCGUCGGUGGCCGGCUCGUUGGCUGCCCUGACGAUGUUAGGAAGCUGCACCGGGCUGGCGGGCUGCGGCCUCUCCUCGACGGCGCCCCAAGGCCGUACGCCGCCUUCGUCUGCCAAGCCUGUAAGAGGGUUGGCUCCGAGCCCUGCCCACAGUGCAGCGAGUCCCGCAACAACAAGAUGCUGGAUCAUGGCAUUAUUGCCGACGAGCAGGACACAGUUGUCCUUUUUUAUCCAACCCAAGGUGAGAUCCGUAGGUUGACUUGGCUGUAUGUUCAGAACUGCAAGGCAACCACUCUGAUACAUCAGAUGAGGCACACAAUCCAUCGGGAUUUUCUGUUGAAAAAUAUAGUAGUAACUUCGUAG